This is a long non-coding RNA of Malania oleifera, 1261 nucleotides long. RefSeq lists it as uncharacterized. The transcript is spliced from 5 exons. Lineage: Eukaryota; Viridiplantae; Streptophyta; Magnoliopsida; Santalales; Ximeniaceae. The record is from RefSeq and is a predicted model, not a curated record.
ACUAAGCUCGCAAACGGAUGCAAUUUUGGGCCAGAACGGACCCGACACACAUUCUACUCUGGUCAUCUCCCUUCCCCACGACCAAUAUCGCGAGAAAAUUUCACCGGACAGUCGCGCGCCUCCGGACCUGACUCAAAUGCAAGAGAGACUCAGAGAAUGGUUUUUAUUUGGCUGUGCUCUCCUGUCGGGCUUUCCUUUCUCUGGUACGAGCAGGGUCGAAGUCAGGAUUUCAUUUGAGAGUUGCAGAAAACCCUAAUUCUUUAUCGGUCAAAUCGUCGAUCAUUGUUGGCACAUAUUAUCUGAGAGGUGUCGAAGACUGAUCAGGAACUAGCGGUGGAAAUUCCCUAUGCCGCGGCCUACCCGGCACUUACUCCCCUCCUCCGCCCGCUCAGUACUACGUUGGAGAGGAUCCCUACCAAGUCGGAGCCGUACCAUGAAACACCGUCGGCGAUCCCAGAGGGACUCCCCAACAGCUGACGAUCUUCAGAGAUACCGCUGUUCCUUCAACUGUGUGUACGUGGUAAUUCUGGAUCCCAGAAAGGCAAAACUAUGCAUAUGAAGUUUUGGAGGACUCCCAAACCUUGUGAUUGUGGCGUGAAACUCAUGGGUGCAGGAUCAGAGGAAUUCUUACCUGUUCCAUUGAAUAAUUGACACUUCAGUAGCCAAGAAGAUUGGAGUCAAUUCAAGCCUCAUUAUCGAUGCAGCCUGCAGGUUCAGAGGAAUUCUUACUUGUUCCCAGCAUCAAUUGAAUAAUUGACACUUCAGUAGCCAAGACGAUAGGAGUCAGUUCAAGUCUCUGUAUUUGGUACUAUGCCAUUUAUUUGGUACAUUGGCAGUUUCACCUAUCUUGUCAGGGCUUCAAAUUUCCUCUCGAAUGGAUUAAACUAUGAAGAGAAUGAAGCCUGAGGCAAAAAUGCUAAAAUUUCUUAUGCUAUGGGCACAUAUUGAGGAAUUACACUGUAGGAAAGCUAAUAUUUUUGUGAUUCUUAGACAAGAUGGAGUUUUUUUUGGGUGUAGCCAUAGGUUUUACGUACACAUAUAUGCACGUACCUAUGUACAUACACACACACACACACACACCUAUAUAUUCAUCUAUAAUAUUUUUAGCAAGUAAAGAAAAUAUGUUAAGAGGUACACAGACAAAAAUCUCAGUUCCCUGAUUUCUGCGACAAUUUGUUGUUAUUUAUCUCUGGAUUGAUUUGUUUUGUAACCAUUUUCUCCACCUUUGAUUUGAAUCCGAUUACUCCUGAAAGUUGAAUUG